GUGGGGAAUAUUGCACAAUGGGCGCAAGCCUGAUGCAGCCAUGCCGCGUGUAUGAAGAAGGCCUUCGGGUUGUAAAGUACUUUCAGCGGGGAGGAAGGUGUUGAGGUUAAUAACCUCAGCAAUUGACGUUACCCGCAGAAGAAGCACCGGCUAACUCCGUGCCAGCAGCCGCGGUAAUACGGAGGGUGCAAGCGUUAAUCGGAAUUACUGGGCGUAAAGCGCACGCAGGCGGUCUGUCAAGUCGGAUGUGAAAUCCCCGGGCUCAACCUGGGAACUGCAUUCGAAACUGGCAGGCUAGAGUCUUGUAGAGGGGGGUAGAAUUCCAGGUGUAGCGGUGAAAUGCGUAGAGAUCUGGAGGAAUACCGGUGGCGAAGGCGGCCCCCUGGACAAAGACUGACGCUCAGGUGCGAAAGCGUGGGGAGCAAACAGGAUUAGAAACCCCUGUAGUCC
Molecule: ribosomal RNA, 450 nt
Filed under: uncultured bacterium
Lineage: Bacteria
Description: partial 16S ribosomal RNA
Rfam family: Bacterial small subunit ribosomal RNA
Source: RNAcentral